GACGAACGCUGGCGGCGUGGAUUAGGCAUGCAAGUCGGACGGUAGGGCUUUAUCGUAAGAUAGAGUUUGAGAGUGGCGAACGGGUGAGUAACACGUAGGAAUCUACCCUUAAGACGGGGACAACCCAGGGAAACUUGGGCUAAUACCGGAUGAGAGUGCGAGAGAUUGCAUUUAAAAGGAUGGCGAAAGUUGUCGCUUAGGGAUGAGCCUGCGGUCUAUUAGUUAGUUGGUGAGGUAAGAGCUCACCAAGGCGAUGAUAGAUAGGCGGCCUUAACGGGUGGUCGCCCACACUGGGAUUGAGAUACGGCCCAGACUCCUACGGGAGGCAGCAGUCGAGAAUAGUCUACAAUGGCCGGAAGGCUGAUAGUGCGACGCCGCGUGAACGAGGGAGCCCUUCGGGGUGUAAAGUUCUUUUCUCAGGGAAAAGGAUGAUGGUACCUGAGGAAUAACGCCCCGGCUAACUACGUGCCAGCAGCCGGCGGUAAGCACGAGAGUA
Molecule: ribosomal RNA, 496 nt
Filed under: uncultured bacterium
Lineage: Bacteria
Description: bacterial SSU rRNA
Rfam family: Bacterial small subunit ribosomal RNA
Source: RNAcentral